RNAcentral lists this ribosomal RNA (783 nucleotides) under Bacillus aerius. RNAcentral's name for it is "bacterial SSU rRNA". It matches the Rfam family "Bacterial small subunit ribosomal RNA", at positions 55 to 822 of the family's 1533-position model. Lineage: Bacteria; Bacillati; Bacillota; Bacilli; Caryophanales; Bacillaceae. The record is from RNAcentral.
AUGCAGUCGAGCGGACAGAAGGGAGCUUGCUCCCGGAUGUUAGCGGCGGACGGGUGAGUAACACGUGGGUAACCUGCCUGUAAGACUGGGAUAACUCCGGGAAACCGGAGCUAAUACCGGAUAGUUCCUUGAACCGCAUGGUUCAAGGAUGAAAGACGGUUUCGGCUGUCACUUACAGAUGGACCCGCGGCGCAUUAGCUAGUUGGUGAGGUAACGGCUCACCAAGGCGACGAUGCGUAGCCGACCUGAGAGGGUGAUCGGCCACACUGGGACUGAGACACGGCCCAGACUCCUACGGGAGGCAGCAGUAGGGAAUCUUCCGCAAUGGACGAAAGUCUGACGGAGCAACGCCGCGUGAGUGAUGAAGGUUUUCGGAUCGUAAAGCUCUGUUGUUAGGGAAGAACAAGUGCAAGAGUAACUGCUUGCACCUUGACGGUACCUAACCAGAAAGCCACGGCUAACUACGUGCCAGCAGCCGCGGUAAUACGUAGGUGGCAAGCGUUGUCCGGAAUUAUUGGGCGUAAAGGGCUCGCAGGCGGUUUCUUAAGUCUGAUGUGAAAGCCCCCGGCUCAACCGGGGAGGGUCAUUGGAAACUGGGAAACUUGAGUGCAGAAGAGGAGAGUGGAAUUCCACGUGUAGCGGUGAAAUGCGUAGAGAUGUGGAGGAACACCAGUGGCGAAGGCGACUCUCUGGUCUGUAACUGACGCUGAGGAGCGAAAGCGUGGGGAGCGAACAGGAUUAGAUACCCUGGUAGUCCACGCCGUAAACGAUGAGUGCUAAGUG